AACGCACCUUGCGCUCCUUGGUAUUCCGAGGAGCAUGCCUGUUUGAGUGUCAUUAAAUCCUCAACCUCAUAUUCCUUGUGAACGUGAGGUUGGAUGUGGAAGUUUGCUGGCCUUGCAGUCAGCUCUUCUGAAACGCAUUAGCAGGGCCGCUCUAUUGCGAGGCUGUCGCUUGGUAUUGAUAGUUGUCUUACCAGGGCUUCAGAGUUAGCAAUGUGCCCCAGCUUCUAGUCGUCUCUCUGGGACAACAACUUGACGAUUUGACCUCAAAUCAGGUAGGACUACCCGCUGAACUUAA
This 295-nucleotide unclassified non-coding RNA is filed under the name uncultured Pluteus. RNAcentral describes it as "sequence contains ITS2". The stretch from base 1 to 52 matches the Rfam family "5.8S ribosomal RNA", at positions 103 to 154 of the family's 154-position model. Lineage: Eukaryota; Fungi; Basidiomycota; Agaricomycetes; Agaricales; Pluteaceae. The record is from RNAcentral.